GAUGAACGCUGGCGGCGUGCCUAAUACAUGCAAGUCGAGCGAACAGAUAAGGAGCUUGCUCCUUUGACGUUAGCGGCUGACGGGUGAGUAACACGUGGAUAACCUACCUAUAAUUCUGGGAUAACUUCGGGAAACCGGAUCUAAUACCGCAUAACAUAUUGAACCGCAUGGUUCAAUAGUGAAACGCGGCUUUCCUGUCACUUAUAGAUGGUUCCGCGGCGUAUUAGCUAGUUGGUAAGGUAACGGCUUACCAAGGCAACGAUACGUAGCCGACCUGAGAGGGUGAUCAGCCACACUGGAACUGAGACACGGUCCAGACUCCUACGGGAGGCAGCAGUAGGGAAUAUUCGGCAAUGGGCGAAAGCCUGACGGAGCAAAGCCGCGUGAGUGAUGAAGGUCUUCGGAUCGUAAAGCUCUGUUAUCAGGGAAGAACAAAUGUGUAAGAAAAUGUGGACAUCUUGACGGUACCUGAUGAGAAAGCAACGGCUAACUACGUG
Molecule: ribosomal RNA, 497 nt
Filed under: uncultured bacterium
Lineage: Bacteria
Description: partial 16S ribosomal RNA
Rfam family: Bacterial small subunit ribosomal RNA
Source: RNAcentral